GCUAAACGCGAAGAACCUUACCAAGGCUUGACAUAUACGAGAACGCUUCAGAAAUGAAGAACUCUUUGGACACUCGUAUACAGGUGGUGCAUGGUUGUCGUCAGCUCGUGUCGUGAGAUGUUGGGUUAAGUCCCGCAACGAGCGCAACCCUCGUUCUAUGUUGCCAGCACGUAAUGGUGGGAACUCAUGGGAUACUGCCGGGGUCAACUCGGAGGAAGGUGGGGAUGACGUCAAAUCAUCAUGCCCCUUAUGUCUUGGGCUUCACGCAUGCUACAAUGGCCGGUACAAAGGGCUGCAAUACCGUAAGGUGGAGCGAAUCCCAAAAAGCCGGUCCCAGUUCGGAUUGAGGUCUGCAACUCGACCUCAUGAAGUCGGAGUCGCUAGUAAUCGCAGAUCAGCAACGCUGCGGUGAAUACGUUCCCGGGUCUUGUACACACCG
Molecule: ribosomal RNA, 439 nt
Filed under: uncultured bacterium
Lineage: Bacteria
Description: bacterial SSU rRNA
Rfam family: Bacterial small subunit ribosomal RNA
Source: RNAcentral